Bubalus bubalis (water buffalo) is the source of this 786-nucleotide long non-coding RNA. RefSeq lists it as uncharacterized. NCBI's taxonomy places the organism in Eukaryota, Metazoa, Chordata, Mammalia, Artiodactyla, Bovidae. The record is from RefSeq and is a predicted model, not a curated record. The transcript is spliced from 2 exons.
CACCGUUGCAGGGGCUUCCUGGGCACUCCCCUGCCUAGGCGCCCGCCCUCCGGGACCCUCACGGUAGAGAGGGCGGAAAGGCACUUAAGAAGCAGAAAUGCAACGUGAAAGAGGUGAUUGGAAAGCACGAAUCUGACCGCAGGCCUGGUCCGCGUCCACAGUGGCUGAGAUGUGGGCAUCGGGAGGCCGCCGGUGGGUCCUGCGCUCCCUCAGCGGGCCCUGGCUAUGUGCGGACGACUGGAGCAGCCGCUGCGCCCCAGGGCUCCAGGGGUGUAUACAGGUCCUCCUUCCUGAGCUGACCAUCUGAGAGUCUAGAACCUCCGUGGGAAUGAACGCUGACGAGCAGGACCUGGCUGUAGAAAGGCCAGCCAGAAACUCAAGUUCUCGCCUGUUUCAACCUGAAUUUAAUAAAAUGUGCACUGGUGUAUUAUUCAGCCAUAAAACAAGAGAUAGGUACUGAUGUAUCUACAACAUAGAUGGACCCUGAAAUGUGUGCAGUGAGAGAAUUCAGACACAUAAAGCCACAUAUUAUACGAGUCCAUUUACAUGAAAUGUCCAGAGUUAAGUCCAUCCACAGAGACAGAAAGUGGACCAGUGGCUCCAGGGAGUGGGGUGGGGGGUGAGAUUGCUCACAGGGGCAGGGUUUCCUUGUGGGAUGAGGGAAACAUUCUAUAGAGAGGUGGUGCAGAAUAUGGCGAGUGUAUGAAAUGCUACUGAAUUGUACGCCUAAACAUACUUACUUCUACGCUAUGUGGGUUUCACCAAAAUAAAAAAAAAAAUAUCUGC